RNAcentral lists this long non-coding RNA (721 nucleotides) under Brachypodium distachyon (stiff brome). Its description in RNAcentral is "long non-coding RNA (BDIS_LNC002811)". Lineage: Eukaryota; Viridiplantae; Streptophyta; Magnoliopsida; Poales; Poaceae. The record is from RNAcentral.
AUCAACCUAACAUGUCCUCACUUAUAUUAUGAGUUGUGAAUCCUUCUUGUCUCGUUUAUGCCACGAAAGUGCGGAUAAAGUGACGCGGACUUUGGACUUUGGUUGGUGCUAUUCAAGAAAACCUGAAGUAUCAAAUCUCUCUCUAGUUUUACAGGCCAUGAAAACUACAGAAAAGAAAAACGCUAGAUCGGGUCCAUGUAUUUGAAACCAACUCGGAAAAUCUAAGCAAAUAAAAGCCAUAUUUUUGAAGUUUAAUUUUUUUCAAUUAAUUGAUUAGCGACAUAGUCUUGUAAUAAACUUUUUCAACAAAAAAAAAUGAUCAUCCUUGAGCAUCAUUUUGUGUGUGCAUAAAACGGAACAAAUCACGUAUUUCUUACAGGAACAAUUUAACCCUCGUUGCCUUAGAGAACAAAAAGAAAAAAAAACGUGACGUGGUUUCAACAGGGACUAAACUUUAACUAGUCAAUCUUUCAGAACUUAUUACACAGAGGUUAUACAAUCGCAAGCUGCCGCCGACGAUGAUCCACCGCCAAGUGUGAAUGGGAACGCUGCGAUUAGGGAGGAUUUGAAAAGCCAACUGUUGGCGCGCCCCCCCAAAAAAAAGAAAACGAGAAAGGAAAAGAAAAGCGAGAGCAGUAUCCAAGCUAGGCUAUAGGCUCUGUGCGUCGGUCGGUGAUGGUGAUUUCUCUUUGCCGAAUUUAAUCCCGAUAAAUAAAUUUCG